AACGAACGCUGGCGGCAGGCUUAACACAUGCAAGUCGAACGCCCGUAGCAAUACGGGAGUGGCAGACGGGUGAGUAACGCGUGGGAAUCUCCCCAAAGGUACGGAACAACUCAGGGAAACUUGAGCUAAUACCGUAUGUGCCCGAGAGGGCAAAGAUUCAUCGCCUUUGGAUGAGCCCGCGUUGGAUUAGCUAGUUGGUGGGGUAACGGCCUACCAAGGCGACAAUCCAUAGCUGAUCUGAGAGGAUGAUCAGCCACACUGGGACUGAGACACGGCCCAGACUCCUACGGGAGGCAGCAGUGGGGAAUCUUGGACAAUGGGCGAAAGCCUGAUCCAGCCAUGCCGCGUGAGUGAAGAAGGCCUUAGGGUUGUAAAGCUCUUUUACCCGGGAAGAUAAUGACGGUACCGGGAGAAUAAGCCCCGGCAAACUUCGUGCCAGCAGCCGCGGUAUACGAAGGGGGCUAGCGUUGUUCGGAUUUACUGGGCGUAAAGCGCACGUAGGCGGAUUGUU
This 511-nucleotide ribosomal RNA is filed under the name uncultured bacterium. RNAcentral's name for it is "bacterial SSU rRNA". It matches the Rfam family "Bacterial small subunit ribosomal RNA", at positions 28 to 584 of the family's 1533-position model. The record is from RNAcentral.